RNAcentral lists this ribosomal RNA (1387 nucleotides) under uncultured bacterium. RNAcentral's name for it is "bacterial SSU rRNA". It matches the Rfam family "Bacterial small subunit ribosomal RNA", at positions 28 to 1381 of the family's 1533-position model. The record is from RNAcentral.
GAUGAACGCUGGCGGCGUGCCUAAUACAUGCAAGUCGAACGAGUUCUGAUUAUUGAAGGGUGCUUGCAUCUUGAUUUAAUUUUGAACGAGUGGCGGACGGGUGAGUAACACGUGGGUAACCUGCCCUUAAGUGGGGGAUAACAUUUGGAAACAGAUGCUAAUACCGCAUAAAUCCAAGAACCGCAUGGUUCUUGGCUGAAAGAUGGCGUAAGCUAUCGCUUUUGGAUGGACCCGCGGCGUAUUAGCUAGUUGGUGAGGUAACGGCUCACCAAGGCAAUGAUACGUAGCCGAACUGAGAGGUUGAUCGGCCACAUUGGGACUGAGACACGGCCCAAACUCUACGGGAGGCAGCAGUAGGGAAUCUUCCACAAUGGACGCAAGUCUGAUGGAGCAACGCCGCGUGAGUGAAGAAGGCUUUCGGGUCGUAAAACUCUGUUGUUGGAGAAGAAUGGUCGGCAGAGUAACUGUUGUCGGCGUGACGGUAUCCAACCAGAAAGCCACGGCUAACUACGUGCCAGCAGCCGCGGUAAUACGUAGGUGGCAAGCGUUAUCCGGAUUUAUUGGGCGUAAAGCGAGCGCAGGCGGUUUUUUAAGUCUGAUGUGAAAGCCCUCGGCUUAACCGAGGAAGUGCAUCGGAAACUGGGAAACUUGAGUGCAGAAGAGGACAGUGGAACUCCAUGUGUAGCGGUGAAAUGCGUAGAUAUAUGGAAGAACACCAGUGGCGAAGGCGGCUGUCUGGUCUGUAACUGACGCUGAGGCUCGAAAGCAUGGGUAGCGAACAGGAUUAGAUACCCUGGUAGUCCAUGCCGUAAACGAUGAAUGCUAGGUGUUGGAGGGUUUCCGCCCUUCAGUGCCGCAGCUAACGCAUUAAGCAUUCCGCCUGGGGAGUACGACCGCAAGGUUGAAACUCAAAGGAAUUGACGGGGGCCCGCACAAGCGGUGGAGCAUGUGGUUUAAUUCGAAGCAACGCGAAGAACCUUACCAGGUCUUGACAUCUUUUGAUCACCUGAGAGAUCAGGUUUCCCCUUCGGGGGCAAAAUGACAGGUGGUGCAUGGUUGUCGUCAGCUCGUGUCGUGAGAUGUUGGGUUAAGUCCCGCAACGAGCGCAACCCUUAUGACUAGUUGCCAGCAUUUAGUUGGGCACUCUAGUAAGACUGCCGGUGACAAACCGGAGGAAGGUGGGGAUGACGUCAAAUCAUCAUGCCCCUUAUGACCUGGGCUACACACGUGCUACAAUGGAUGGUACAACGAGUUGCGAGACCGCGAGGUCAAGCUAAUCUCUUAAAGCCAUUCUCAGUUCGGACUGUAGGCUGCAACUCGCCUACACGAAGUCGGAAUCGCUAGUAAUCGCGGAUCAGCACGCCGCGGUGAAUACGUUCCCGGGCCU